GUCCUGUUCGAUUAGUUGGUUAAAUCAUCUCGUUGUGGACUAGACGCUCCGAGAAGCCGGAAGUUCGAAUCCUCCACAGGACA
Transfer RNA from Termitomyces sp. J132, 83 nucleotides. It matches the Rfam family "tRNA". From Rfam's summary of the family: Transfer RNA (tRNA) molecules are approximately 80 nucleotides in length. Their secondary structure includes four short double-helical elements and three loops (D, anti-codon, and T loops). Further hydrogen bonds mediate the characteristic L-shaped molecular structure. tRNAs have two regions of fundamental functional importance: the anti-codon, which is responsible for specific mRNA codon recognition, and the 3' end, to which the tRNAs corresponding amino acid is attached (by aminoacyl-tRNA synthetases). tRNAs cope with the degeneracy of the genetic code in two manners: having more than one tRNA (with a specific anti-codon) for a particular amino acid; and 'wobble' base-pairing, i.e. permitting non-standard base-pairing at the 3rd anti-codon position. Lineage: Eukaryota; Fungi; Basidiomycota; Agaricomycetes; Agaricales; Lyophyllaceae. The record is from Rfam.